GUAGGUGGCAAGCGUUGUCCGGAAUUAUUGGGCGUAAAGCGCGCGCAGGCGGUCCUUUAAGUCUGAUGUGAAAGCCCACGGCUCAACCGUGGAGGGUCAUUGGAAACUGGGGGACUUGAGUACAGAAGAGGAAAGCGGAAUUCCAAGUGUAGCGGUGAAAUGCGUAGAGAUUUGGAGGAACACCAGUGGCGAAGGCGGCUUUCCGGUCUGUAACUGACGCUGAGGCGCGAAAGCGUGGGGAGCAAACAGGAUUAGAUACCCUGGUAGUCCACGCCGUAAACGAUGAGUGCUAAGUGUUAGGGGGUUUCCCGCCCCCCUUAGUGCUGCAGCUAACGCAUUAAGCACUCAGCCUGGGGAGUACGGCCCGCAAGGCUG
Molecule: ribosomal RNA, 375 nt
Filed under: uncultured organism
Description: partial 16S ribosomal RNA
Rfam family: Bacterial small subunit ribosomal RNA
Source: RNAcentral